RNAcentral lists this small RNA (975 nucleotides) under Pyricularia oryzae. RNAcentral's name for it is "Magnaporthe oryzae sRNA M_BR32_EuGene_00140281". Lineage: Eukaryota; Fungi; Ascomycota; Sordariomycetes; Magnaporthales; Pyriculariaceae. The record is from RNAcentral.
AUAUAACGGUAUUGCACCGUAACGAAACAAAAAAUUAAUUCGUAAUAUUUUUCGUUAUUUUUCCAAUAAAUUUAGGUAUUUUUUUAUUUUUAGGUUUAUAUUUCCUGUAUUAAUCCAAUUUUAUUCCAAAUUUAGCACGUUUUUAUUUCGGGCCAUUUAAUAUAAUAUGCAUAUCGAGGUUUUAUUUUAUAUAUAAAUGGUACCGCACCGGUAAUAUAUCCGAAUCCAAUUUUCCAGGUGGGGUUAUAUUUUUUUCCAAUUGCAAUAAUAAUUUUUUGCCAAAAAAUAAACCUUUUUUAUUUUAUCGCAUUAAUAAUUUUUAUAAAUUAUCCAAUUAUUGCAUAUUUUGUAAAAAUUUUGAAAUUUUUCCUAAUUAUUGUCCGUAAUAUUUUAAAUUUUAUGGAAUAAAUAGGUGGUUAAUCGGUCGUAUUAUUGGUUAGAUAUUUUAAAUAUUUUGUUUUUCCAACCACAGUUUUUACAAUAACGUAAUGCAAAAAACUUCCCUAUUUAAAGAUUUUUGUUUUUUUUGUGCAUUUGGAUAUAUUUAUUGCAAUUUUAAUUCUGGCCCCGGUUUAUUAUUUGUAUUUUGCAAAUAUAUCCCGUUUAUUGUAAUUAUUUAUGUGAUUUACAGCAAUUAAAUUCGGUUAAUUAGGUAAUUAUGGUUUUUUUGGAUAACCCUAAUAAAUAUUAAUACGUCCGGGUAUUUGUUUAUUAAUUUAACCAUUAUAUUAAUUGUAUUCCAAUUGGAUAUUUAAACUGAUUGGUUUUAAAAAUAUAAAUUGCACAACCAAUAUCCGCCCUACAUUUUGCCUAAAUAUAUAUUGUUGCAUCGUCCCGUUAUUAUAUUAUCGCAACGUCGCACAAUUACAAACGGCAUACAUAUAAUAUUUUAACAAAACAAAAUUCCUUUCCACCUUUCCAAAAUUCAUUUUUUUUUUUUUUUUUGGUUUUUCCCCCUAUAAAUAGCCUAAAUAU